UGCCGGGUCGUCUAAUGGUCGGACAGCGGCCUUUGGAGCCGUCAAUGAAAGUUCGAUUCUUUCCCCGGCAG
Molecule: transfer RNA, 71 nt
Filed under: Candidatus Kuenenbacteria bacterium CG_4_10_14_3_um_filter_39_14
Lineage: Bacteria; Candidatus Kueneniibacteriota
Also listed under: 2 other names
Description: tRNA-Gln
Rfam family: tRNA
About the family: Transfer RNA (tRNA) molecules are approximately 80 nucleotides in length. Their secondary structure includes four short double-helical elements and three loops (D, anti-codon, and T loops). Further hydrogen bonds mediate the characteristic L-shaped molecular structure. tRNAs have two regions of fundamental functional importance: the anti-codon, which is responsible for specific mRNA codon recognition, and the 3' end, to which the tRNAs corresponding amino acid is attached (by aminoacyl-tRNA synthetases). tRNAs cope with the degeneracy of the genetic code in two manners: having more than one tRNA (with a specific anti-codon) for a particular amino acid; and 'wobble' base-pairing, i.e. permitting non-standard base-pairing at the 3rd anti-codon position.
Source: RNAcentral